GCACAAUCUAAAGCUUUUCAACGGAUUGUGAAUUCUGAUAAAUAAAUAACACCACCAGUUAAAUGACUCUUCCUUGUCCUCUCUGGGUUGGCUCCUUCUCAGCCGGCGUUUAACCCAACUCACUGAGCAAGGAUCUCUCCAUUCUUUGCUCUUUUAUUUGUGGAUUCAGUUCAAUUCUUAUUGAAUUGUAUGGUGUUUGUUGAUUUGCUGCACAUCUGGGCACCGACAAAUAUUUCCAUUCAUCUUGAAGAGUUCGUGAAUUCUUGCUUUUUCCUUUUUUUGACGAGGUGGGUCAAUCUGAUUUUGGCUCUAGAUUGGUGGGUCUGAUUUUUUUUUUUCUGAUUUGGAUUGAUUAAGAUCGGUGGAUUUGUCUUGAAGAUUGAGUUUGAUUCAAAUUUUCUGGGUUUAAUUUGAAAUGGUCUAUUUCCAUAGCUCAAUCUCGGUCUGCAACUCCGUCGACCAAUCAACAGCAGUCAUGGCAAAUUCUGUGAAUUCCAAUGAGUUGCAUCCAAAAUCAAGACACAAUAAUCUUGUGCACAAGAAUAGAAAGACAAAUAAUCAUUCAAAUUGUGCUAGUAUACCUGUCUGUGAUCGAUCUCGAUCAGCUGUCAUUGAUGUUGUGAUCUUGAUUGCUGUUAUUGGUGCUUGUGGGUUCUUGUUAUUUCCUUAUGUCAAGUUUGUAACCCUUUAUUCGAUUGAAUUUGUUGGUACCGUUCAUUAUGUGGUCAAAGAUGAGGUUACGAGAAAUCCAAUGAUAUAUGCUUCUAUAGGGUUUAGUACUUUUUGUGCUGCAAUAGCUGCUUGGAUAAUACUUAUAUGCACAACUAGGAAAUGUGGGAAUCCAAAUUGUAAGGGCCUAAGGAAGGCAGCUGAAUUUGAUAUUCAGCUGGAGACAGAGGAGUGUGUGAAGAACUCAAAUGGUACUUUGGUGAAAGAUGGGGUGAAAAGGGGUCUAUUUGAAUUGCCUCGCGAUCACCACCGUGAAUUGGAGGCUGAACUGAAGAAGAUGGCACCACCAAAUGGAAGAGCCGUUCUGGUGUUUCGAUCAAGGUGUGGAUGUUCUGUUGGAAGAUUGGAAGUACCGGGACCAAAGAAGCAAAAGAAGAUCAAGAAGUAGGACUAUUAUAUUUCUUAAUUUUAGAGGAGGGAACUAAUAUAGUAGUAGAGUCAUGAGGGAGAAAGGAGUGUCUUCUCUGAUAGAUCUUCUCAGGAGCUACCUUGUCCUUAAAUAAGCCAUGGCAAUAAGUUGUAAGGGAUUUUAUAUACAUUUGGUUAUAGUGGAGAAUAUGAGAAUCCUUUAUUUCAUCAACUUUAUUUGCUAUUAUAUAAUAAUUGUUUCUGUUGUUU
This 1347-nucleotide unclassified non-coding RNA is filed under the name Hevea brasiliensis (rubber tree). Lineage: Eukaryota; Viridiplantae; Streptophyta; Magnoliopsida; Malpighiales; Euphorbiaceae. The record is from RNAcentral.